Long non-coding RNA from Gasterosteus aculeatus aculeatus (three-spined stickleback), 2549 nucleotides. The record is from Ensembl. NCBI's taxonomy places the organism in Eukaryota, Metazoa, Chordata, Actinopteri, Perciformes, Gasterosteidae.
AUUGAGUGUAAAGUCUCCACCACGGAGGCUCAGGUUAGUUUCUUCUCAUGAAGGUUUCAUCAGGAUGGUUUUGUGUGAAUACACACGUGUGCUUAAAAGCAUCUUUAUUGCACUUUAUUGUAUAAUACUGAUAAGAUAGAGACUGCAUGCUCUUCUUCUCUGAACAGGAGGUAUUAUAAAAGAUACCACACUCAAUGCCACUGCGCUGUCUGUCAAAUGAAAGGAAGCUAGCGGCACUUUAGCUUAGCUUAAAGACGCGAGACUGUUCACAAGGUUAAAAAAAAAUCCAAUCUGCCAGUAACUUUAUCUCUAAUACAGCCGUAAAUGAAUGUACACAAAUCAUUUUACCAUUGAGGUACUUUCCUUUCCUGCAAGAUACUUCUUCAAUAUAUAUGUGGAGACUCAUAUUCAUUUUGUAACCCAACAGAAAAGUCCCUACAGAUGUCCCCACUAUGUCAGUAACAAGGACACACACACAAACACACUGUCAGUUGUCACUUGACGCUUCAAUCCACCACACAGCCAGCUGUCACUCACCCUGACAGCCAUAUUGUUAGUGGUAGCCCAGAAACAAAAUGGCUUCCAGUGGCGUGUGUCAGGAGGUGUCACGGUGCCCUGACAACACAUCCUGUGUGUGUGUGUGUGUGUGUGUGUGUGUGUGUGUUACAUCAUCCAUGUGUCCAUUCAAGGUACUGAGUUGAAGUCACUUCUGAAACAGUCUCCUUAUAAAAGAUGUUCCUCCAUUAAUUGUCUCAAAAGAUGCUUAAACAUUAAACAACUGUCCACUGCACAAAGAAAAGAAAAACUGACGGUUGUUUUAAUAAAUUAUACCAUGUUACAACACGAUCUGAUCAACAUUUAGUAGUCAUAUCUUAAGUAAAUUCAUUUUUUGUCUUAGAUGCAAAUUAUUCCUAUUGCUGCAGAACCUGCUUGAGGAUCUUCUAGCUUGUAAGUUUCUUUCAGUUAAAAAGUCAACCAGUGACGCUCGUCUGCGUAACUCGGUGUUAAAAUGCUAAUGUUAGCUAUCACCCAAUGAAUUAUUCAUCAUUGAGACGUUACUUUAUGUGAUAUUACUGUUGAUACUACGCUAUACUGUAUUAUUUUACAGUAUAGCUGUAGUAUAUUUAUAUCUUAAUUAGUGUUCUAUUAAAUUGUCUUUUUUCGGCAGCUGAGUUUAAAGUCUAGACAACAUUUUCAAUAAUAUCUACAAUGUAAAGGUCUGGGUGUCUCGAUAGCCGCCACGAUGAUCAUCUUCAUCCAUUAUCAGCUCAGGCAAAGUAUUUGGGAGGAUUCUCAAUCGCUGCUGUUCUUUGGGGCGGUUUCUGAAGCUUGUACCAUCUGAAAGUGUUUUUGGGGAAUUCAGUCCAGAGCAGAGCGAAUCUGUAUUUUACUCUCAACCCACAGCUUCAAGGUUCCUUCUUCUGUCUCUGAGGUCCUGAAGCGGAGCCAGGACCACCGAGGGGGAGCUGCCUUCUCGCAACCCUCCCCGGCUACCUACGACCGCAUCGCGAGCCACAGCUGGAAUAGGUGGGGGGGGGGGGGGGGGGGCACGCUGGGAGACGGAGUCCCCCAGCCCGGCGGCUGUGUUAGCGCCGGUUCGGUAGUCCGAUUCCCACGGGCGCUCAUUAAAAAGCCGCCGCUCACAAAAGUGCACCUGCCGGCGGCCAAUGAGACGCUGCCCCACGGCCCACACAGGUCCCGCCCACACAGGAAGCAGCACUAACAGGCUCGGUAACAACGUUAACCUGGGGUGUCAGCGAUGUAAAUGAAUAGAUGAAUUACAGGAUGUUACUCCUCUACUGGAAGAAGGUCUUCCUCACACGAGGAGGAGUGCAGGUCUCCAUCACAGGUGAUCAAAUACACUUUCACCUCCAGACCGCCGCAUGGAUUAUAUAAAGUACGGAUUGUGUUAUCUGGUGUCAAGGAAUGUAGAGCGGAAACAAGCACCAGUGAAACACAGAUUAAAUAUCUAAUAUAGAUUAACCACUAGAGAGGAAGUUAAAGGGUUAGAAGCCGGCGCACCCUCUCUACUCCAUGCGCCACCGUCGACCCGCUUUACUGGAGAGCGAAGGCGUGUCGGGUUUGGAAGAAAAGAAUCUGCUGAAAGUUAUUCAUCCACCUGUUGGGAAAAACGCUCUGUUGGUCUGUGAAGAUAAAAAAUGAAGCGUGAAGCUCAAAAUCCAGGUUGUUACCUUCUUGUUUCUGGACUUCGCCAUCUUGGCCGCCACCAUUUAGUUCUCUUCUUCACACCACGUUUCUUUCUUUUUUUUGCAACCACCAAACCAUACGUGGACUAAACGUGGACUAAACAUGGACUAAACGUGGACUAAACGUGGACUAAACAUGGACUAAACGUGGACUAAACGUGGACUAAACGUGGACUAAACAUGGACUAAACGUGGACUAAACGUGGACUAAACGUGGACUAAACGUUUGGACUAAACGUGGACUAAACGUGGACUAAACAUGGACUAAACGUGGACUAAACGUGGACUAAACAUGGACUAAUCGUGGACUAAACAUGGACUAAACGUGGACUAAACGUGGAC